Molecule: ribosomal RNA, 2085 nt
Filed under: Kingella kingae
Lineage: Bacteria; Pseudomonadati; Pseudomonadota; Betaproteobacteria; Neisseriales; Neisseriaceae
Description: partial 23S ribosomal RNA
Rfam family: Bacterial large subunit ribosomal RNA
Source: RNAcentral
AGUCAAGUGAAUAAGUGCAUCAGGUGGAUGCCUUGGCGAUGAUAGGCGAAGAAGGACGUGUAAGCCUGCGAAAAGCACGGAGAAGCUGGCAAAAAAGCAAUGAUACCGUGAUGUCCGAAUGGGGAAACCCACUGCACUCGUGCAGUAUCCUAGUCUGAAUACAUAGGGCUAGAGAAGCGAACCUGGAGAACUGAACCAUCUAAGUACCCAGAGGAAAAGAAAUCAACCGAGAUUCCGCAAGUAGUGGCGAGCGAACGCGGAAAAGCCUGUAUAUGAUAAUGGUUAGGAUAGAAGAAGGGAUUGGAAACUUCCGCCAUAGUGGGUGAUAGCCCCGUAUUUGAAAUCUUAACCAUGGUACUAAGUAUACGAGAAGUAGGGCGGGACACGUGAAAUCCUGUCUGAAUAUGGGGGGACCAUCCUCCAAGGCUAAAUACUCAUCAUCGACCGAUAGUGAACCAGUACCGUGAGGGAAAGGCGAAAAGAACCCCGGAAGGGGAGUGAAAUAGAACCUGAAACCUGAUGCAUACAUACAGUGGGAGCAUCUUUGUGGUGUGACUGCGUACCUUUUGUAUAAUGGGUCAACGACUUACAUUCAGUAGCGAGCUUAACCGAGUAGGGGAGGCGUAGGGAAACCGAGUCUUAAUAGGGCGACUAGUUGCUGGGUGUAGACCCGAAACCGAGUGAUCUAUCCAUGGCCAGGAUGAAGGUGCGGUAAAACGCAUUGGAGGUCCGAACCCACGCAUGUUGCAAAAUGUGGGGAUGAGCUGUGGAUAGGGGUGAAAGGCUAAACAAACUCGGAGAUAGCUGGUUCUCCCCGAAAACUAUUUAGGUAGUGCCUCGAGUAUGAGACUGAUGGGGGUAAAGCACUGUUAUGGCUAGGGGGUUAUUGCAACUUACCAACCCAUGGCAAACUAAGAAUACCAUCAAGUUGCUCCUCGGGAGACAGACAUCGGGUGCUAACGUCCGGUGUCAAGAGGGAAACAACCCAGACCGCCAGCUAAGGUCCCAAAUGAUAGAUUAAGUGGUAAACGAAGUGGGAAGGCACAGACAGCCAGGAUGUUGGCUUAGAAGCAGCCAUCAUUUAAAGAAAGCGUAAUAGCUCACUGGUCGAGUCUUCCUGCGCGGAAGAUGUAACGGGGCUCAAAUCUAUAACCGAAGCUGCGGAUAUACUUUUGUAUAUGGUAGGGGAGCGUUCUGUAAGCCUGUGAAGGUGACUUGUAAAGGUUGCUGGAGGUAUCAGAAGUGCGAAUGUUGACAUGAGUAGCGAUAAAGCGGGUGAAAAGCCCGCUCGCCGAAAGCCCAAGGUUUCCUACGCAACGUUCAUCGGCGUAGGGUGAGUCGGCCCCUAAGGCGAGGCAGAAAUGCGUAGUCGAUGGGAAACAGGUUAAUAUUCCUGUACUUUGAUUCAAUGCGAUGUGGGGACGGAGAAGGUUAGGUUAGCAAACUGUUGGAAUAGUUUGUUUAAGCCAGUAGGUGGAAAGAGUAGGCAAAUCCGCUCUUUCUUAACACCGAGACGUGAUGACGAGUGUCUACGGACAUGAAGUGACCAAUACCACGCUUCCAGGAAAAGCCACUAAGCUUCAGUUGAAUCAGAACCGUACCGCAAACCGACACAGGUGGGCAGGAUGAGAAUUCUAAGGCGCUUGAGAGAACUCGGGAGAAGGAACUCGGCAAAUUGAUACCGUAACUUCGGGAGAAGGUAUGCCCUCUAAUGUUAAGGACUUGCUCCGUAAGCAUCUGAGGGUCGCAGAGAAUCGGUGGCUGCGACUGUUUAUUAAAAACACAGCACUCUGCUAACACGAAAGUGGACGUAUAGGGUGUGACGCCUGCCCGGUGCUGGAAGGUUAAUUGAAGAUGUGCAAGCAUCGGAUCGAAGCCCCAGUAAACGGCGGCCGUAACUAUAACGGUCCUAAGGUAGCGAAAUUCCUUGUCGGGUAAGUUCCGACCCGCACGAAUGGCGUAACGAUGGCCACACUGUCUCCUCCCGAGACUCAGCGAAGUUGAAAUGGUUGUGAAGAUGCAAUCUCCCCGCUGCUAGACGGAAAGACCCCGUGAACCUUUACUGUAGCUUUGCAUUGGACUUUG